UGGGGGGUCGGCUAACGGGAAGCCACAAGCCUUUGAAGCUUGGGAUGCGGGUUCGACUCCUGCCCCCCCAGCCA
RNAcentral lists this transfer RNA (74 nucleotides) under Pseudomonadota bacterium. RNAcentral's name for it is "tRNA-Gln". It matches the Rfam family "tRNA". From Rfam's summary of the family: Transfer RNA (tRNA) molecules are approximately 80 nucleotides in length. Their secondary structure includes four short double-helical elements and three loops (D, anti-codon, and T loops). Further hydrogen bonds mediate the characteristic L-shaped molecular structure. tRNAs have two regions of fundamental functional importance: the anti-codon, which is responsible for specific mRNA codon recognition, and the 3' end, to which the tRNAs corresponding amino acid is attached (by aminoacyl-tRNA synthetases). tRNAs cope with the degeneracy of the genetic code in two manners: having more than one tRNA (with a specific anti-codon) for a particular amino acid; and 'wobble' base-pairing, i.e. permitting non-standard base-pairing at the 3rd anti-codon position. The record is from RNAcentral. Lineage: Bacteria; Pseudomonadati; Pseudomonadota. RNAcentral also lists the same sequence under 1 other name.